CAAGACAACUUUACGGAGUUGACGAUUGACGGAGCGAAGCGACGUCAAAGCGUUCAUUAAAGUCGAGUUGGCUUAGGGAUACGUUCGUUGGGUAGGGGAGCGUUCUGUAAGCCUGUGAAGGUGUGUCGUGAGGCAUGCUGGAGGUAUCAGAAGUGCGAAUGCUGACAUAAGUAACGAUAAAGCGGGUGAAAAGCCCGCUCGCCGGAAGACCAAGGGUUCCUGUCCAACGUUAAUCGGGGCAGGGUGAGUCGACCCCUAAGGCGAGGCCGAAAGGCGUAGUCGAUGGGAAACGGGUUAAUAUUCCCGUACUUGGUGUUACUGCGAAGGGGGGACGGAGAAGGCUAUGUUGGCCGGGCGACGGUUGUCCCGGUUUAAGCGUGUAGGUGUGUGUUCCAGGUAAAUCCGGUUCACUUUAACACUGAGGCGUGACGACGAGGCACUACGGUGCUGAAGCAACAAAUGCCCUGCUUCCAGGAAAAGCCUCUAAGCAUCAGGUAACACGAAAUCGUACCCCAAACCGACACA
Molecule: ribosomal RNA, 525 nt
Filed under: Salmonella enterica subsp. enterica
Lineage: Bacteria; Pseudomonadati; Pseudomonadota; Gammaproteobacteria; Enterobacterales; Enterobacteriaceae
Description: partial 23S ribosomal RNA
Rfam family: Bacterial large subunit ribosomal RNA
Source: RNAcentral